RNAcentral lists this long non-coding RNA (1131 nucleotides) under Canis lupus familiaris (dog). RNAcentral's name for it is "lncRNA (ENSCAFG00040005247.1)". Lineage: Eukaryota; Metazoa; Chordata; Mammalia; Carnivora; Canidae. The record is from RNAcentral.
GGCCCAGCAGGGAGCGGUCGGGGUCCGGGGUGGGGGGUGCUGAGAGGUCAGCUCUCUUCCAGGCUCCAGCUCUUGGCGGGUAGGGUCUUCUUCCCCGGAGGCCGGGAGCGGGGGUCAGAGGCAGCCAGAAGUUUGAGGGGUGUGGGGUGUGGGCUGGAGGGAACGUGCUUCAGAACUUCGCUCGCCAGCUCGGGGCUCCCUGGCUCCGCCGCUCCUGCCCCCCGCCCUGCUCGCCCCCGGACAGAUCAACGAGAAAAGGCCAAAUUACAGCCCCGGGCCUCCCUCCCCAGUUUCCCUGCGCGGGGGGCGGGGGGCCUGCCCUCUUCCCUGGGGGCACCUUCCCCCGCCACCGCCUCUGUGGUGCAGGAGCAAGCGGGGGGCCCGGGCCCAACUUUGCAGAGUCAGGCGGAGGAGCCGCGCGGCCCGAGAGAUGCGCUCGCCCCGGAGCCCGGAGCCCGCAGCCCCCUGGGCGCCCCUCGCAUCUCUGCCCCCGCCCGCACGCGCCCCCAGAGAGGCCCCGGCAGCUCGCCGCGACCGUCCCCAACUCCCCCAGGGGCGGCAGCUGCACCCAAGGCAUCUGCCCUCCUCCCGCUAGCCGCCACCUCACCCCUCAGCCCCCACCGAUCGUCGGCUGCCCCCCCCAGGGUGUCCCCGGAGAGUGAGAGUGAUGGACUAGCCCGCGACGUCGGGGCUGCGAUCCCUCCCCCUAGAGAUCGGAGGUGGGAGCCGCGGAGUCCCCCGGUUCAGGGGCCGCGGCGGGGCUGCCCGGGGUCCCGGAGCGAGGGCCGGGCUUGGGGUCCGGGCCCCGCCCGGCUGCCGGCGCCCCUCUCCUCCCGACGCCGGCGAGCGGGGCGCUGCGGGCCUUCCUCGGAGCGCGGGGCCUGCGCGGAGGCGGGGGGCGCGGGGGGCGCGGGGGGCGCGGGCGCCAGCACAGGCCCGCCUCGGCCGGCCGCUGGAACAACUUUGCAGGAAUAUUUUGUUAGGGGAACAAACAGACAGAAAGUUAUUAGUGUCAAAUCACGGACUCCAGAGUCGUGUGCUGUGGAACGUAAAGAUUCUUCGGACGGACUGAGAUUUCCAAAACUGGGAGAGGGAAAGAACUCUGCACCCUUUGCACGAGGAUUUGCCUGA